Molecule: ribosomal RNA, 467 nt
Filed under: uncultured bacterium
Lineage: Bacteria
Description: partial 16S ribosomal RNA
Rfam family: Bacterial small subunit ribosomal RNA
Source: RNAcentral
GACGAACGCUGGCGGCGUGCUUAACACAUGCAAGUCGAACGGAAAGGCCCUGCUUUUGUGGGGUGCUCGAGUGGCGAACGGGUGAGUAACACGUGAGUAACCUGCCCUUGACUUUGGGAUAACUUCAGGAAACUGGGGCUAAUACCGGAUAGGAGCUCCUGCUGCAUGGUGGGGGUUGGAAAGUUUCGGCGGUUGGGGAUGGACUCGCGGCUUAUCAGCUUGUUGGUGGGGUAGUGGCUUACCAAGGCUUUGACGGGUAGCCGGCCUGAGAGGGUGACCGGCCACAUUGGGACUGAGAUACGGCCCAGACUCCUACGGGAGGCAGCAGUGGGGAAUAUUGCACAAUGGGCGGAAGCCUGAUGCAGCAACGCCGCGUGCGGGAUGACGGCCUUCGGGUUGUAAACCGCUUUCGCCUGUGACGAAGCGUGAGUGACGGGAAUGGGGAAAGAAGCACCGGCGAACUACGU